RNAcentral lists this ribosomal RNA (775 nucleotides) under uncultured Neocallimastigales. RNAcentral describes it as "partial large subunit ribosomal RNA". It matches the Rfam family "Eukaryotic large subunit ribosomal RNA", at positions 18 to 616 of the family's 3401-position model. The record is from RNAcentral. Lineage: Eukaryota; Fungi; Neocallimastigomycota; Neocallimastigomycetes; Neocallimastigales.
UCAGACGAUGCGUCAUGCAUAUCAAUAAGCGGAGGAAAAGAAACUAACAAGGAUUCCCCUAGUAACGGCGAGUGAAGCGGGAAGAGCUCAAAUUUGAAAUCUUAAAGGGUUUCCCUUUACGAAUUGUAGUUUAAAGAAGUGUUUUCUGUUGAGGUUUUGGUAAAAGUUCUUUGGAAUAGGACAUCAUAGAGGGUGAGAAUCCCGUAUUUGACCUUUACUUUCAACUUUGUGAUACACUUUCAAAGAGUCGGAUUGUUUGGGAAUGCAGUCCAAAAUGGGUGGUAAAUUUCAUCUAAAGCUAAAUAUUGGCGAGAGACCGAUAGCGAACAAGUACCGUGAGGGAAAGAUGAAAAGAACUUUGAAAAGAGAGUUAAACAGUACGUGAAAUUGUCAAAAGGGAAGCGUUUGACACCGGUGUUGUUUUUCUGAAAAUCAAUUAAAGAACUGUUUAUGCUAAGUUGUUUAGACUUUAUCAGCUAACUGUUUAGUUUUGAGCUUUUCUUUAAUGCACUUUUCAGUUAACAAGUCAACAUCAAUUUCUUUUGCUGUAAAAAAGCUUGAGGAAGGUGGCUUGAGAUUCGUCUUAAGUGUUUAUAGCCUCUUGCCUAUGCAGUCGGAGAGAUUGAGGUCUGCAGCGUAGAUCCUUCGGGGCUAAAUGCAUUUGUGCUAAGUUAUAGCAUUUUAUAGACAACUUGUUGGACUAUGAUUUGUCUUGUAGCUUACUCGCUUAUGUUAUUUUACCUACGCUUAGGAUGUUGAGCGCAUGUCUCUCUCU